GCCGCGGUAGCUCAGUGGUAGAGCAUACGGCUGAAAACCGUAGGGUCGUCAGUUCGAUCCUGACCCGCGGCA
This 72-nucleotide transfer RNA is filed under the name Candidatus Parcubacteria bacterium. Its description in RNAcentral is "tRNA-Phe". It matches the Rfam family "tRNA". Rfam says of the family: Transfer RNA (tRNA) molecules are approximately 80 nucleotides in length. Their secondary structure includes four short double-helical elements and three loops (D, anti-codon, and T loops). Lineage: Bacteria; Candidatus Parcubacteria. The record is from RNAcentral.